UACGUAGGGCGCAAGCGUUAUCCGGAAUUAUUGGGCGUAAAGCGCGCGUAGGCGGUUUUUUGAGUCUGCCGUGAAAGUCCGGGGCUCAACUCCGGAUCUGCGGUGGGUACGGGCAGACUAGAGUGAUGUAGGGGAGACUGGAAUUCCUGGUGUAGCGGUGAAAUGCGCAGAUAUCAGGAGGAACACCGAUGGCGAAGGCAGGUCUCUGGGCAUUAACUGACGCUGAGGAGCGAAAGCAUGGGGAGCGAACAGG
This 253-nucleotide ribosomal RNA is filed under the name uncultured bacterium. RNAcentral describes it as "partial 16S ribosomal RNA". It matches the Rfam family "Bacterial small subunit ribosomal RNA", at positions 524 to 776 of the family's 1533-position model. The record is from RNAcentral.